This 253-nucleotide ribosomal RNA is filed under the name uncultured bacterium. RNAcentral describes it as "partial 16S ribosomal RNA". It matches the Rfam family "Bacterial small subunit ribosomal RNA", at positions 524 to 776 of the family's 1533-position model. The record is from RNAcentral.
UACGUAGGGGGCAAGCGUUACCCGGAUUCACUGGGCGUAAAGCGGGUGUAGGCGGCUCGGUAAGUCGGGGGUGAAAUCCCACGGCUCAACCGUGGAAUUGCGCCCGAAACUGCUGAGCUUGGGGCCGGUAGAGGGAGACGGAACUGCCGGUGUAGGGGUGAAAUCCGUAGAUAUCGGCAGGAACGCCGGGGGGGAAGCCGGUCUCCUGGGCCGCGCCCGACGCUGAGGCCCGAAAGCUAGGGGAGCAAACCGG